AGCGAACACUGGCGGCAGGCCUAACACAUGCAAGUCGAACGAACUCUUCGGAGUUAGUGGCGGACGGGUGAGUAACACGUGGGAACGUGCCUUUUGGUUCGGAAUAACUCAGGGAAACUUGUGCUAAUACCGAAUGUGCCCUUCGGGGGAAAGAUUUAUCGCCAUUAGAGCGGCCCGCGUCUGAUUAGCUAGUUGGUGAGGUAACGGCUCACCAAGGCGACGAUCAGUAGCUGGUCUGAGAGGAUGACCAGCCACACUGGGACUGAGACACGGCCCAGACUCCUACGGGAGGCAGCAGUGGGGAAUCUUGCGCAAUGGGCGAAAGCCUGACGCAGCCAUGCCGCGUGAAUGAUGAAGGUCUUAGGAUUGUAAAAUUCUUUCACCGGGGACGAUAAUGACGGUACCCGGAGAAGAAGCCCCGGCUAACUUCGUG
This 433-nucleotide ribosomal RNA is filed under the name uncultured bacterium. RNAcentral describes it as "partial 16S ribosomal RNA". It matches the Rfam family "Bacterial small subunit ribosomal RNA", at positions 29 to 507 of the family's 1533-position model. The record is from RNAcentral.